GACGAACGCUGGCGGCGUGCCUAAUACAUGCAAGUCGAACGCACAGUUUAUACCGUAGCUUGCUACACCAUAGACUGUGAGUUGCGAACGGGUGAGUAACGCGUAGGUAACCUGCCUGGUAGCGGGGGAUAACUAUUGGAAACGAUAGCUAAUACCGCAUAAUAUUAAUUAUUGCAUGAUAAUUAAUUGAAAGGUGCAAUUGCACCACUACCAGAUGGACCUGCGUUGUAUUAGCUAGUAGGUGAGGUAACGGCUCACCUAGGCGACGAUACAUAGCCGACCUGGAAGGGUGAUCGGCCACACUGGGACUGAGACACGGCCCAGACUCCUACGGGAGGCAGCAGUAGGGAAUCUUCGGCAAUGGACGAAAGUCUGACCGAGCAACGCCGCGGGAGUGAAGAAGGUUUUCGGAUCGUAAAGCUCUGUUGUAAGAGAAGAACGGGUGUGAGAGUGGAAAGUUCACACUGUGACGGUAUCUUACCAGAAAGGGACGGCUAACUACGUG
RNAcentral lists this ribosomal RNA (505 nucleotides) under uncultured bacterium. Its description in RNAcentral is "partial 16S ribosomal RNA". It matches the Rfam family "Bacterial small subunit ribosomal RNA", at positions 28 to 507 of the family's 1533-position model. The record is from RNAcentral.